Molecule: transfer RNA, 543 nt
Filed under: uncultured cyanobacterium
Lineage: Bacteria; Bacillati; Cyanobacteriota
Description: partial contains 16S ribosomal RNA, 16S-23S ribosomal RNA intergenic spacer, and 23S ribosomal RNA
Rfam family: tRNA (bases 213-285)
Source: RNAcentral
CAGGGAGACAACAAAAUGUUUAAUAUUAUUAUUUUGUCACCUUAGGUCGAUCGGUAUCUCACGUUUUUAAUUUAUUAAGAAUUUCAUUUCCUAAGUUUUUUCUAGGUCACACCCUUUAUUUUUCCUGGGCCAUUAGCUCAGGUGGUUAGAGCGCACCCCUGAUAAGGGUGAGGUCCCUGGUUCAAGUCCAGGAUGGCCCAUAUCUCUAUGUUGGGGGUAUAGCUCAGUUAGUAGAGCGCCUGCUUUGCAAGCAGGAUGUCAGCGGUUCGAGUCCGCUUACCUCCACUGAUUACCACCUCUUCCAUAAAUCUAUGUGAAGGAAAUGUUUUGAGUAGUGAUCAAAUUCUGAACGAAGCUAGCUUCCUAAUGAAAUCAUUAAGAUGCUGGACUCAUUGAAUUAAUUUCAUUGUUUUCAGAGAACCUUGACAACUGCAUAGAUUAUUUUUAAAGACAAUAAGCAUCUUUAAUGAUGCAGAUUUAUUAUUUGUGCGAAUGCAUUAAUAACAAUUCUAUUAAGCUGAUGCUUCAAUUUUUGAAGUUAUU